This is a long non-coding RNA of Drosophila pseudoobscura, 593 nucleotides long. RefSeq lists it as uncharacterized. The record is from RefSeq and is a predicted model, not a curated record. The transcript is spliced from 2 exons. NCBI's taxonomy places the organism in Eukaryota, Metazoa, Arthropoda, Insecta, Diptera, Drosophilidae.
UCCAUAGUAAAUUUAGUAGAAAACACUGUUUUGCAAUUUGUUGGAAAUAGUAUUUUAACGCAGCCCUGUUUUACGCGUCAAAGUUUCUCGACAGUCGGAAACCAAACAGCUCCGGUAACUAACUAACUAAAAUUGAAUUCAAAUAAAACUUUAAACUUCUACAAUCAAGAUGAUGCGCGAUUCGCACCCCGAAAUGCGUGACAUCGAAGCGCUGGCCAAAAAGGAGGUUAAGGGGAAUCUUUUGUUAUUUGCCGUGGCCUGUGCCUUGAUACGCUAUAUUCCAAAACUCAUACGCAAGUUCUUUUAGAGGGCCAUACACUGGAGGGCGCCGCUAAGAGAUCCACGUUUAAAAUGCACAAAGUGUGGCCCAGGCACUUGCAUUUCGAUUGUGCGUCAUUUAAGCUUUCUCUAGCUUCAUUGACUAGGCAGCCAUUAAGCCAAACCAUUUACCAUAAGAAAAUCAUAUACAUUUAUUUAUACAAUUUUGAGUGGGAAAAUAUCCACCGAACAAGCGAUUAACUUCCACGUGACUAUGGAGUCGCUCACACUGGCCGUUGUAUGUUAAACCAAAUUAAAAUUAUUGGAAAAACGCA